This 917-nucleotide ribosomal RNA is filed under the name Marinicauda sp. RNAcentral's name for it is "bacterial SSU rRNA". It matches the Rfam family "Bacterial small subunit ribosomal RNA", at positions 67 to 1031 of the family's 1533-position model. Lineage: Bacteria; Pseudomonadati; Pseudomonadota; Alphaproteobacteria; Maricaulales; Maricaulaceae. The record is from RNAcentral.
CGCACCCUUCGGGGUGAGUGGCAGACGGGUGAGUAACGCGUGGGAACGUACCCUUUGGUUCGGAAUAGCCCUUGGAAACGAGGAGUAAUACCGAAUGAGCCCUACGGGGGAAAGAUUUAUCGCCGAAGGAUCGGCCCGCGUUAGAUUAGCUAGUUGGUGAGGUAAUGGCUCACCAAGGCGACGAUCUAUAGCUGGUUUGAGAGGAUGAUCAGCCACACUGGGACUGAGACACGGCCCAGACUCCUACGGGAGGCAGCAGUGGGGAAUCUUGGACAAUGGGGGAAACCCUGAUCCAGCCAUGCCGCGUGAAUGAUGAAGGCCUUAGGGUUGUAAAAUUCUUUCAGUGGGGAAGAUAAUGACGGUACCCACAGAAGAAGCCCCGGCUAACUCCGUGCCAGCAGCCGCGGUAAUACGGAGGGGGCUAGCGUUGUUCGGAAUUACUGGGCGUAAAGCGCGCGUAGGCGGACUAGCCAGUCAGAGGUGAAAGCCCAGGGCUCAACCCUGGAACUGCCUUUGAUACUGUUAGUCUGGAGUCCGGGAGAGGUGUGUGGAAUUCCGAGUGUAGAGGUGAAAUUCGUAGAUAUUCGGAGGAACACCAGAGGCGAAGGCGGCACACUGGACCGGUACUGACGCUGAGGCGCGAAAGCGUGGGGAGCAAACAGGAUUAGAUACCCUGGUAGUCCACGCCGUAAACGAUGGAUGCUAGUUGUCUGGCAGCAUGCUGUUAGGUGACGCAGCUAACGCAUUAAGCAUCCCGCCUGGGGAGUACGGCCGCAAGGUUAAAACUCAAAGAAAUUGACGGGGGCCCGCACAAGCGGUGGAGCAUGUGGUUAAUUCGAAGCAACGCGAAGAACCUUACCAGCUCUUGACUCCUGAUCGCGGUUUGGGAGACCCAUUCCUUCAGUCGGCUGAAUCAG